This 440-nucleotide ribosomal RNA is filed under the name uncultured bacterium. RNAcentral's name for it is "partial 16S ribosomal RNA". It matches the Rfam family "Bacterial small subunit ribosomal RNA", at positions 338 to 795 of the family's 1533-position model. The record is from RNAcentral.
CCUACGGGGGGCAGCAGUGGGGAAUAUUGGACAAUGGGGGGAACCCUGAUCCAGCGACGCCGCGUGAGUGAAGAAGUAUUUAGGUAUGUAAAGCUCUAUCAGCAGGGAAGAAAAUGACGGUACCUGACUAAGAAGCCCCGGCUAACUAAGGGCCAGCAGCCGCGGUAAUACGUAGGGGGCAAGCGUUAUCCGGAUGUACUGGGUGUAAAGGGAGUGUAGACGGUGCAGCAAGUCGGAUGGGAAAGGUCGGGGCCCAACCCCGGGACUGCAGUUGAAACUGUUGAACUGGAGUACAGGAGAGGUAUGCGGAAUUCCUGGUGUAGCGGUGAAAUGCGUAGAUAUUAGGAGGAACACCGGUGGCGAAGGCGGCUUACUGGAGUGUAACUGACGUUGAGGCUCGAAAGCGUGGGGAGCGAACAGGAUUAGAUACCCCUGUAGUC